Molecule: ribosomal RNA, 407 nt
Filed under: alpha proteobacterium K-2034a
Lineage: Bacteria; Pseudomonadati; Pseudomonadota; Alphaproteobacteria
Description: bacterial SSU rRNA
Rfam family: Bacterial small subunit ribosomal RNA
Source: RNAcentral
UUGCCAUCAUUCAGUUGGGCACUCUAAGGAAACCGCCGGUGAUAAUCCGGAGGAAGGUGGGGAUGACGUCAAUUCCUCAUGGCCCUUACACGCUGGGCUACACACGUGCUACAAUGGCGGUGACAGUGGGCAGCAAACUCGCGAGGGUGAGCUAAUCUCCAAAAGCCGUCUCAUUUCGGAUUGUUCUCUGCAACUCGAGAGCAUGAAGGCGGAAUCGCUAGUAAUCGCGGAUCAGCAUGCCGCGGUGAAUACGUUCCCUGGCCUUGUACACUCCGCCCGUCACACCAUGGGAUUUGGUUUCACCCGAAGGCAGUUCGCUAACCGCAAGGAGGCAACUGACCACGGUGGGAUCAGCUACUGGGGUGAAGUCGUAUCAAGGUACCGUAGGGGAACCUGCGGCUGGAUCA